Molecule: ribosomal RNA, 868 nt
Filed under: Scleroderma sp.
Lineage: Eukaryota; Fungi; Basidiomycota; Agaricomycetes; Boletales; Sclerodermataceae
Description: LSU rRNA
Rfam family: Eukaryotic large subunit ribosomal RNA
Source: RNAcentral
UAGUAACUGCGAGUGAAGCGGGAAGAGCUCAAAUUUCGAAUCUGGCGGUCCUGUGGCCGUCCGAGUUGUAAUCUAGAGAAGCGUCUUCCGCGCCGGACCGUGUACAAGUCUCCUGGAAGGGAGCAUCAUAGAGGGUGACAAUCCCGUCUCUGACACGGACCUCGGGGCUAUGUGAUGCGCUCUCGACGAGUCGAGUUGUUUGGGAAUGCAGCUCAAAUAGGGUGGUAAACUCCAUCUAAAGCUAAAUAUGGGCGAGAGACCGAUAGCGAACAAGUACCGUGAGGGAAAGAUGAAAAGAACUUUGGAAAGAGAGUUAAACAGUACGUGAAAUUGCUGGAAGGGAAACGCUUGACGUCAGUCGCGUCGGCCGGGGAUCAACCUUGCUUCUCGCUGGGCGUAUUUCCCGGUCGACGGGUCAGCAUCGACUUCGGUCGUCGUAGAAGGACGGGAGCGAACGUGGCACUCUCCGGAGUGUGUUAUAGCCUUCCGUAUGGAUGCGAUGGCCGGGAUCGAGGAACUCGGCACGACCCCUCGAGGGUUCGGGGCUUCGGCUCACGCGACGUGCCCAGGAUGCUGGCGUAAUGGCUUUAAGCGACCCGUCUUGAAACACGGACCAAGGAGUCUAACGUGCCUGCGAGUGUUUGGGCGGAAAACCCGAGCGCGAAACGAAAGUGAAAGUCGAGACCUCCGUCGCGGAGGGCACCGACGCCCGGACCGGAGCCUUUGGUGAUGGAUCUGCGGUAGAGCAUGUACGUUGGGACCCGAAAGAUGGUGAACUAUGCCUGAAUAGGGCGAAGCCAGAGGAAACUCUGGUGGAGGCUCGUAGCGAUUCUGACGUGCAAAUCGAUCGUCGAAUUUGGGUAUAGGG